UACGUAGGGGGCUAGCGUUGUCCGGAUUUAUUGGGCGUAAAGAGCGUGUAGGCGGCCAUGUAGGUCCGGUGUGAAAACUCGAGGCUUAACCUCGAGAUGUCAUCGGAAACCAUUUGGCUAGAGUCCGGAAGAGGAGAGUGGAAUUCCUGGUGUAGCGGUGAAAUGCGCAGAUAUCAGGAAGAACACCCGUGGCGAAGGCGGCAUCCUGGACCGGUAUUGACGCUGAUGCGCGAAAGCCAGGGGAGCAAACGGG
RNAcentral lists this ribosomal RNA (253 nucleotides) under uncultured bacterium. RNAcentral's name for it is "partial 16S ribosomal RNA". It matches the Rfam family "Bacterial small subunit ribosomal RNA", at positions 524 to 776 of the family's 1533-position model. The record is from RNAcentral.